This 244-nucleotide ribosomal RNA is filed under the name uncultured bacterium. RNAcentral describes it as "partial 16S ribosomal RNA". It matches the Rfam family "Bacterial small subunit ribosomal RNA", at positions 533 to 776 of the family's 1533-position model. The record is from RNAcentral.
UGCAAGCGUUAUCCGGAAUGAUUGGGCGUAAAGCGUCCGCAGGUGGCUGUGUAAGUCUGCUGUUAAAGAGUGAGGCUCAACCUCAUAAAAGCAGUGGAAACUACACGGCUAGAGUGCGUUCGGGGCAGAGGGAAUUCCUGGUGUAGCGGUGAAAUGCGUAGAUAUCAGGAAGAACACCGGUGGCGAAAGCGCUCUGCUAGGCCGCAACUGACACUGAGGGACGAAAGCUAGGGGAGCGAAUGGG